CCUACGGGGGGCUGCAGUGAGGAAUAUUGGUCAAUGGGCGCUAGCCUGAACCAGCCAAGUAGCGUGAAGGAUGACUGCCCUAUGGGUUGUAAACUUCUUUUAUAUGGGAAUAAAGUGCAGUAUGUAUACUGCUUUGCAUGUACCUUAUGAAUAAGGAUCGGCUAACUCCGUGCCAGCAGCCGCGGUAAUACGGAGGAUCCGAGCGUUAUCCGGAUUUAUUGGGUUAAAAGGGAGCGUAGGCGGGUUGUUAAGUCAGUUGUGAAAGUUUGCGGCUCAACCGUAAAAUUGCAGUUGAUACUGGCAUCCUUGAGUACAGUAGAGGUAGGCGGAAUGCGCCGUGUAGCGGUGAAAUGCAUAGAUAUCGCGCAGAACUCCGAUUGCGAAGGCAGCAUGCCGGCUCCACACUGACGCUGAGGCACGAAAGCGUGGGUAUCGAACAGGAUUAGAUACCCGUGUAGUC
RNAcentral lists this ribosomal RNA (460 nucleotides) under uncultured bacterium. RNAcentral describes it as "partial 16S ribosomal RNA". It matches the Rfam family "Bacterial small subunit ribosomal RNA", at positions 338 to 795 of the family's 1533-position model. The record is from RNAcentral.